Molecule: long non-coding RNA, 477 nt
Organism: Lutra lutra (Eurasian river otter)
Lineage: Eukaryota; Metazoa; Chordata; Mammalia; Carnivora; Mustelidae
Exons: 4
Source: RefSeq, a predicted model, not a curated record
CAAAAGUGUAGCCAUUGGCUGGAGGCCCUAGCAGGACUCGACGUUUCUUCUUCCGAGCAGUGCGUGCGAGCCAGGAAAUGGCGCAGUGAGGGUUCCCAUCCAAAAUCCCUGAUCUGUGAAACAAUGCCUGGAAAUAGACUCUGAGAUGGUCCUACUGGAAUGAAGAACUAGGCACUGCAUGUGUUUCUGCAAGGAGUCCAGUGGUGCCCAAGGAUCCUUGCUGGGACCCAUGCAGCCUUCCUGCCUGCUGAGAAGAGAGCAGUGUUCCCUGCCACCUCCAGAUGCCUGAGACUUGCACAGCUCACACCUUCAGAGGCUCCCGGUCUCUUCAAGGGAGUGGCUACAAAUGGGCAGAAGAUGCUGCUAUAUGAACAAAUUGGCCUGCAGCCAAAGAAGAAGGUCUCUGCAUCAGGAACACAUAUUUACAGCUGAAGCUCAAGAAAUUACAUGGUGACAUAGUAUUUAAGAUUGAAGACA